GGAAGGAUCAUUAACACGUUUUUCGAAACGUUUGUUUCCUUCUUCACACUCUGUGCACCUACUACCCGUGGUCAGCUAGCUUCGGCUGUCUGACUGCUGGUGGUUGCCUUCACUUUGUUCCCCCUCAAGUUAAGACUGCUGUGCAUGCCCCUGAGCCUCGCUUGGUGGGUGUGUGCCGCGGCCUUGCCUUUCAGUUGGUACCAUUUCUGUCUCCUCCGCUGCCUUGAACAAAGGUGGUUGGAGCGGACUGAACCAUUUAUCUUGAACAAGAGUACAACUCUUAGCAAUGGAUAUCUAGGUUCUCGCGCCGAUGAAGAACGCAGCGAAAUGCGAUACGUCAUGCGAAUUGCAGAAUUCAGUGAAUCAUCCAAUCUUUGAACGCAAAUUGCGCUCUCGGGUUCGUCCUAAGAGCACGCCUCUCUCAGUAUCGUUUUCCCUCCUCUCACUGCCCUUGGCCUAGCAGCAAUGCUGGUGCUGAGGCGCCGUGGAGAAUGAGAGUCCAGUUGACUUGUCGGCUGGUCUCUUGAAAAGCACCUCCUCGCUCUGCCGCCUGUCGGACCGCUCAGGUCGAUUGCGGAAGGGACGUGAAUAACGAGUGGCAGCUUCAUCUGAUUGUCUGCCUCCUCCUACCCACGUCCACUCCUUCCUGCACUCGAUCGGUCCGAGCCACGACGGAGCACCUCAGGGAGACGGGCGCUGGCUUAGCCACUGCCCACCCACACUUUAAACUUUGAUCUGAGAUGAAGCGAGAUUACCCCCUGAAUUUAAGCAUAUUAAUAAGGGGAGGAAAAGAAACUAACAAGGAUUCCCUCAGUAACGGCGAGUGAAGCGGGAAGAGCUCAAUAUGAAAAUCGGUUUCAAUUGACUUUGCGACCGAAUUGUAUCCUUCGGACGUGUUGUCAGCUGGCGGCUCGAAUGUAAGUCUUUUGGAAGAAGGCAUCGUAGAGGGUGAGAAUCCCGUCUUUCGUUCGAGUCUGCCGGCGUACGACGCAUGUUCUGCGAGUCGAGUUGUUUGGGAUUGCAGCUCUAAACAGGUGGUAAGUUUCAUCGAAAGCUAAAUAUCAGCGAGAGACCGAUAGCGAACAAGUACCGUGAGGGAAAGAUGAAAAGAACUUUGAAAAGAGAGUUAAACAGUACUUGAAAUUGCUAAGAGGGAAGCGCUGGAAACCAGUGUUUGUUUGCUUGGAUAUUCGCUCUUUGCUACCUGGCGGCUAGCUAUGGACGUUGGCAACUCGUCUGUGGUUGGUUGGCUGGGCUGGCAGGGAGUUCAGUCCAGGCGAAUAGGUCCAGAUUCAUUCGGCGACGCGAGGCAGAAGGCGGCGGGGAAGGUAGGAGAGCAAGCAAUUGCUCUCUGUUAUAGACCCGCCGUUGAACCUUGGGCUGGAUGGAGGAAGGUAUAGUGCGCCGCUUGCGGCUACUCCCCCGCUGUUCCGUCUGUGCCGUCUGGCUGACUAGCAAUGCUUGGCUGUCGGACGCGUAUGGAUGCUGGUGGUGGUGGAGUAUGUGCUAUGACGAUCUUGGCGAAAUGGUUUUCAUCGACCCGUCUUGAAACACGGACCAAGGAGUCUAACAUCGAUGCGAGUAGUCAGGUGGUAAACCUGAGUGCGGAAUGAAAGUGAAGCUCAACCUAGUUGAGUGUGGUAGGAAUCUGCUUGGCCAUUGGUCAGUGGAGGCACUAUCGACCGAUCAUGAUUUAUCAUUGAUUUGAGUUGGAGCAUGGCUGUUGGGACCCGAAAGAUGGUGAUCUAUGCCUGAACAGGGUGAAGCCAGGGGAAACUCUGGUGGAGGCUCGUAGCGAUACUGACGUGCAAAUCGUUCGUCUGAUUUGGGUAUAGGGGCGAAAGACUAAUCGAACCAUCUAGUAGCUGGUUCCCUC
Molecule: unclassified non-coding RNA, 1876 nt
Filed under: uncultured fungus
Lineage: Eukaryota; Fungi
Description: sequence contains 18S rRNA gene, ITS1, 5.8S rRNA gene, ITS2, 28S rRNA gene
Rfam family: Eukaryotic large subunit ribosomal RNA (bases 732-1876)
Source: RNAcentral